This 463-nucleotide ribosomal RNA is filed under the name uncultured bacterium. RNAcentral describes it as "bacterial SSU rRNA". It matches the Rfam family "Bacterial small subunit ribosomal RNA", at positions 917 to 1382 of the family's 1533-position model. The record is from RNAcentral.
GGACCCGCACAAGCAGUGGAGCAUGUGGUUUAAUUCGACGCAACGCGAAGAACCUUACCAAGGCUUGACAUAAUACUGCACAUGUUGGAAACAGCAUGGUCCUUCGGGACGGUAUUACAGGUGGUGCAUGGUUGUCGUCAGCUCGUGUCGUGAGAUGUUGGGUUAAGUCCCGCAACGAGCGCAACCCCUAUCAUUAGUUGCCAACAGUCAGGCUGUGCACUCUAAUGAGACUAUCGGCGAUAAGCCGGGGGAAGGUGGGGACGACGUCAAAUCAUCAUGCCCCUUAUGUCUUGGGCUACACACGUGCUACAAUGGCCAUUACAACGGGUAGCGAAGGAGUAAUCUGAAGCCAAUCCCCAAAGAUGGUCCCAGUUCGGAUUGUGGGCUGCAACUCGCCCACAUGAAGUCGGAAUUGCUAGUAAUUGCAGGUCAGCAUACUGCAGUGAAUACGUUCCCGGGUCUU